This 233-nucleotide ribosomal RNA is filed under the name uncultured bacterium. RNAcentral's name for it is "partial 16S ribosomal RNA". It matches the Rfam family "Bacterial small subunit ribosomal RNA", at positions 103 to 334 of the family's 1533-position model. The record is from RNAcentral.
CGGGUGAGUAACGCGUGGUCAACCUACCGUAAAGUGGGGGAUAGCUAGCCGAAAGGUUAGCUAAUACCGCAUACCGACACGAUCCGGCAUCGGAAUGUGUCGAAAGGAGCAAUCCGCUUAACGACGGGACCGCGUCCCAUUAGCUAGAUGGUGGGGUAAUGGCCUACCAUGGCUCCGAUGGGUAGCUGGUUUGAGAGAGCGACCAGCCACACUGGGACUGAGAAACGGCCCAG